This 312-nucleotide ribosomal RNA is filed under the name Triticum aestivum (bread wheat). RNAcentral describes it as "partial small subunit ribosomal RNA". Lineage: Eukaryota; Viridiplantae; Streptophyta; Magnoliopsida; Poales; Poaceae. The record is from RNAcentral.
AUGAAUACCUACGGAUUCCACCUCCUUGACUUCACCCCCAAUGCCGUUCUGACCAUGGCAGUUUUCGCACAUCUCUGUGAAAACUUUGUCGGAGUCCUUCCCAACGUAGCCCUCUUCCGCCACUUCUUCAUACCCCGAGUAGAGAGAGGGAGCCAUUAUCCGGCGGAAUCGCCUGGAUCUCGAGGGACGGCAAGAAAGAAACCUAUCUGGAGGGAUAAUUCCACGGCAAGUGGGAGGAGUGGAGAGCAGACUGGUGCUGGAUUGACGAGGAGAACCCGCAGGCAUUCACCACCCGGCGCCAAACCCCAGUAG